UACAGAGGGUGCGAGCGUUAAUCGGAAUUACUGGGCGUAAAGGGCGCGUAGGCGGUUAUUUAAGUUAGAUGUGAAAUCCCUGGGCUUAACCUAGGAAUUGCAUCUGAUACUGGAUGGCUGGAGUGCGGUAGAGGGUAGUGGAAUUUCCGGUGUAGCGGUGAAAUGCGUAGAUAUCGGAAGGAACACCAGUGGCGAAGGCGGCUACCUGGACUGACACUGACGCUGAGGCGCGAGAGCGUGGGGAGCAAACAGG
This 253-nucleotide ribosomal RNA is filed under the name uncultured bacterium. RNAcentral describes it as "partial 16S ribosomal RNA". It matches the Rfam family "Bacterial small subunit ribosomal RNA", at positions 524 to 776 of the family's 1533-position model. The record is from RNAcentral.